CAAUGGUUGAACUAAUUUAGACGUCCAUUGACGGCGUAGAGGUUAAUCCUAAGAAUGGUUACAUGAGCUUGGAAGGAGACCCUUCCGCAGCUGAGCCUUAGCCUGGGCCAUCACCUACAUCUGGACUGAAGACCCAGAGAAACUACUCCAUCAGGAAUUGUUUGGGACCAUGCAUUCUGUUGCCCACAGCCAACCCGAAAGCCACCAAGGUAGCAGUACUCCUGUGAACCACGUCUGAGUGGAGUAAUGAUGGCACCACAUUCCAGCCUGCAUGGGUAUUGGCCUGAGUGCUCCCGCCUCAUGAAAUUCAGCCACCUCUUUCUCCAGUCAGUUCCAUCUUCUCAACUCCGACUGUCUUCCAGAGUCCGUGUCACACCACAGCCUGGAAACUCUCCCCAAGCAGUAACCUGAAGCAACAUUACUCCAUCAUUACUGUACCACCGCCUAUAUGGAUGUAAUUGUCAGUGUGAUGCUGAGUAAGGAACAACGUGCACCAGACUCACAGAGAAAAAUGGACAAGCGAGCUGGCCUUUGUAUCACUAAAGGGAAGGUUGGAGGGCAGUGGCGUGAACAAAGCUCACUGCAGCCUCGAACUCUUCGGCUGGAAUGAUCUUCCACCUCAGCGUCUUGAGUAGAUGGGACUGCAGGCAUGUGCCACCACAUCUGGGUUUGGAAUAAUUCAUCAGUGUAAUCUUCUCAACCUGGUCAAUCACAUGAACUUAGAAGAUGAUUCCUCCCCAGCUGAUCCUUCAGGUGAGACCUCAGCCUUUGCAGUCAUCUACAUGUAGAUUCCUGACCCAGAGAAACUGUGAGUAAUUUGUGUAUGCUUUUGAGCCACUAAGCUAUGAGGUAAUUGGCUAUGCUGCAAUAAACAAUAAUACACUUGAUGGUAAACAUAGUAUGUUAUCCUUGAUUAGAUCCAAAAAAAUGAAAAAUGGCAUUAGUGGAAAACCUGGUAAAAUAUGAAGACAGUCAGUACUUUAGUUAAUAGUUUUGUGCCUUUGUCAGUUUGUGAGUUUUCACAGAUAGUCUAUGGUUAUGUGUAUGAUAUUAAUGUUGCAGGAAAUUGAAGGGUAUAUCCAAAUUUUGUAAGAUUUUAACAACUCUCUAUAAAUCUAAAAUUAUUUCAAAAUAAAUAGAAGUGUAGACAUGGCUCAUAUAUUUGAGAUCAGGUCUUCCUCUUAACUUAAUUAAGCUUUCAUGGAGUUUUAACUCAUGGUACAAAUGCAAUAACAUUAUAAAAUAUAAAUGAGAUGAGUUUCUAUUUUACUCACUCUAUUCUUCAGGGAACACUAAAGUCCAUUCUUCUUCUCAAGUAUCCAAAACUCAAGUUGAUCCAAGUAACAAGUGGACAGCAUAAAAGAUUGUAUGAAAACCAUAAUGCAUCUACAUCUUCAGUUACUAAUCAUAAAAUGAUUUGUAUGAUCAUUCUUCACAUGAUUAGAAUGACUAUGGGAAAGAAGAAAAAGAAAUGCAACUUUCUUGAUUUAAAAAUCGUAUCUGUGCAAGAGUGAUGGCAUACCCCUGUAGUCAGUCCCAGCUGCUAGGGAGGGUUGUUAGGAUGAUCAUGUGAUACCAGGAGUCUGAGUCUGUGUAGUGUGCUAUGAUUGUGCCAGUGAAUAACCAUGCACUCCAGCCUGGGCAACAUAGUGAAUCCCCGUUAAAUAAAUUAAUUAAAUUAAUACAUAAAUAAGUUACAGAGAUCAUUGUUUACAUUUCUAUUAUUAGGGCUCAAAUCCUUUAGAUA
Non-coding RNA from Macaca mulatta (Rhesus monkey), 1747 nucleotides. NCBI's taxonomy places the organism in Eukaryota, Metazoa, Chordata, Mammalia, Primates, Cercopithecidae. The record is from RefSeq and is a predicted model, not a curated record.